RNAcentral lists this ribosomal RNA (414 nucleotides) under Paenibacillus sp. ICGEB2008. RNAcentral's name for it is "bacterial LSU rRNA". It matches the Rfam family "Bacterial large subunit ribosomal RNA", at positions 2505 to 2925 of the family's 2925-position model. Lineage: Bacteria; Bacillati; Bacillota; Bacilli; Caryophanales; Paenibacillaceae. The record is from RNAcentral.
UCGACGGGGAGGUUUGGCACCUCGAUGUCGGCUCAUCGCAUCCUGGGGCUGGAAGUAGGUCCCAAGGUUGGGCUGUUCGGCCCAUUAAGCGGUACGCGAGCUGGGUUCAGAACGUCGUGAGACAGUUCGGUCCCUAUCUGUCGUGGGCGUAGGAAUUUGAGAGGAGCUGUCCUUAGUACGAGAGGACCGGGAUGGACGUACCGCUGGUGUACCAGUUGUUCCGCCAGGAGCACCGCUGGGUAGCUAUGUACGGAAGGGAUAAGCGCUGAAAGCAUCUAAGCGUGAAGCCCCCCUCAAGAUGAGAUUUCCCAAUUAGUAAGACCCCUUGGAGACGACGAGGUAGAUAGGUUGGGGGUGGAAGUGCAGUAAUGCAUGGAGCUGACCAAUACUAAUCGGUCGAGGGCUUAUCCUAAA